AUGACCAAACUCCAAACAUGCACAGCUUUUACGGGCACCAAAUUUCUUGUGGAAUUGUUUUCUUCUCCAGGAGGCAACGAGGUUGAUGUCCCCCAAGAUGAAGGACUGCUCUGCAGUCCCAGCUCAAGUCCAACACUGAAGCAGAGGUCUGCAGUUAGAAGAGACUUGUCCAAUGAGUGUCCUAGUACUGCAGGGGAGAGGUGCUCAGGCUGUCCAAAGAAAAACAAAAAGACACAGGGAAAUGAAGUUAUUGAGGAUAAAGUUUGGAGUGAAGAUCAGCAAACAGUAAAUAUUGAACAAAAUAAGUGCAUUUUGGCAAAGGAACUGUCAAAAUUUCCUUUUACAGUUCUUCUAAAGAAAUAAAUUGAUGUUUUUGCAUCCUUAUCUGCUUCCCUGUCAUCUUCGUGUCGCAAAAGUUAUACUUCUCAAAAGCCUGCCAAAAUAUUCUAUCUCCCAAAUUUCUAUCAUGAUUUCUCUGCCCUUGGAGCUGCCAAGUAAUGCUGCUCUCAGUAUAACAUAAAUCUUCAAUGUGUAGGUACUUGAAUUAACACAGUUCACCAGGCUUUCACUGCAAAUAUUCAGACUGCAUGAAAGUCUGCAAAACCUUUGGUAACAGAACAGUAAAGGUGAGAGUGCUGACAGAAAUGUCCACAAAGGUCUGAACACAUGGGACCAUACAUGAGUUAAAUAGUGACCAUCUUUCCUAGGAAAAUAGUGGUCAAUCUCAGGAUUCAUAAUACCCCAGCAUUGUAGACUAGACUUGGAGGCACCAGUAGCAGACAUAUAUUUCAGAAAUAUUUAAGUUUGAACCCAAAGCCUCGUCUCCAACAGAAGGUUAUUUCAAAAAUGACACCCUGACACCCAGUGACACCCCUGUCUUGGUUCCUGCAUUGAAGAGCAGCUUUCUGACAGCUGUGGGGACUUACAAGUGCUGCCCCAUUCCCAGCAGUAUAUUUAGCAUUUCCUAAACAUGUUAUAGUCACAAUCAAAGUUGGAAGGAACCCUUAAAGACCUUCUAGUACAACUCCCCUGCAAUGAACAGGGACACCUAGAGCAAGAUCAGGUUUCUCAGAGCCCCAUCCACUCUGGGUUUGAGUGUCUCCAGGGAUGGGGAUUCCACCAUCUCUGGGCAAUCUGUGCCAGUGCCUCACCACAGUUAUUGUAAAAUACUUCUUCCUACUAUCCAGUCCAAAUCUCCCCUCUUUUAGUUUGAAACCAUUUCCCCUUGUCCUAUCACAACAGACUCUGCUAAAGAGUCUGUCCCCUUCUUUUUUACAACUCCCUCUGUAGAUACUAAGUCCUUCAAGAGCUCAAAGUCUACUUGGAUGAGGUGCACAUCUGGGCAUCAAAGGUUCUCAUAGGCAUUUCAACAAGUCACCUGUGUGCCUAGUUCCCUACUUCGACACUCAGACACUCCUGAGUCUCUAGUUCUCAGUCUCAGGAUCCUGGAAAACAGAGACACUAAAGUCACUUAGACUGGAAGAUACUACCCUAAAGAUUUCAUCCUUUGUUCUACCACUUGUAUACAACAGACAAACAAACACAUUGCAAAAACUUCCUUUCUCCUUUUAAAAGCAAUGAAAUAAAUCAUGAGAGCACUUUAUAUCCCUUCA
Molecule: long non-coding RNA, 1613 nt
Organism: Phasianus colchicus (ring-necked pheasant)
Lineage: Eukaryota; Metazoa; Chordata; Aves; Galliformes; Phasianidae
Source: Ensembl